Molecule: ribosomal RNA, 484 nt
Filed under: uncultured bacterium
Lineage: Bacteria
Description: partial 16S ribosomal RNA
Rfam family: Bacterial small subunit ribosomal RNA
Source: RNAcentral
AUUGAACGCUGGCGGCAUGCUUUACACAUGCAAGUCGAACGGCAGCGCGGGCUUCGGCCUGGCGGCGAGUGGCGAACGGGUGAGUAAUGCAUCGGAACGUGCCCAGUAGUGGGGGAUAGCCCGGCGAAAGCCGGAUUAAUACCGCAUACGACCCGAGGGUGAAAGCGGGGGACCGAAAGGCCUCGCGCUAUUGGAGGGGCCGAUGUCGGAUUAGCUAGUUGGUGGGGUAAAGGCUUACCAAGGCGACGAUCCGUAGCUGGUCUGAGAGGACGACCAGCCACACUGGGACUGAGACACGGCCCAGACUCCUACGGGAGGCAGCAGUGGGGAAUUUUGGACAAUGGGGGCAACCCUGAUCCAGCCAUGCCGCGUGCGGGAAGAAGGCCUUCGGGUUGUAAACCGCUUUUGUUCGGGAAGAAAUCCUCUGGGCUAAUACCCCGGGGGGAUGACGGUACCGGAAGAAUAAGCACCGGCUAACUACGUG